RNAcentral lists this ribosomal RNA (468 nucleotides) under uncultured bacterium. RNAcentral describes it as "partial 16S ribosomal RNA". It matches the Rfam family "Bacterial small subunit ribosomal RNA", at positions 28 to 507 of the family's 1533-position model. The record is from RNAcentral.
GACGAACGCUGGCGGCGUGCUUAACACAUGCAAGUCGAACGGAAAGGCCCUGCUUUUGUGGGGUGCUCGAGUGGCGAACGGGUGAGUAACACGUGAGUAACCUGCCCUUGACUUUGGGAUAACUUCAGGAAACUGGGGCUAAUACCGGAUAGGAGCUCCUGCUGCAUGGUGGGGGUUGGAAAGUUUCGGCGGUUGGGGAUGGACUCGCGGGUUAUCCGCUUGUUGGUGGGGUAGGGGCUUACCAAGGGUUUGACGGGUAGCCGGCCUGAGCGGGUGACCGGCCACAUUGGGACUGAGAUACGGACCAGACUCCUACGGGCGGCAGCAGUGGGGAAUAUUGCACAAUGGGCGGAAGCCUGAUGCAGCAACGCCGCGUGCGGGAUGACGGCCUUCGGGUUGUAAACCGCUUUCGCCUGUGACGAAGCGUGAGUGACGGUAAUGGGUAAAGAAGCACCGGCUAACUACGUG